AGAGCUUGCUCUGUGGAUCAGUGCCGAACGGGUGAGUAACACGUGAGCAACCUGCCCCUGACUCUGGGAUAAGCGCUGGAAACGGCGUCUAAUACUGGAUAUGUGACGUGACCGCAUGGUCUGCGUCUGGAAAGAAUUUCGGUUGGGGAUGGGCUCGCGGCCUAUCAGCUUGUUGGUGAGGUAAUGGCUCACCAAGGCGUCGACGGGUAGCCGGCCUGAGAGGGUGACCGGCCACACUGGGACUGAGACACGGCCCAGACUCCUACGGGAGGCAGCAGUGGGGAAUAUUGCACAAUGGGCGAAAGCCUGAUGCAGCAACGCCGCGUGAGGGAUGACGGCCUUCGGGUUGUAAACCUCUUUUAGCAGGGAAGAAGCGAAAGUGACGGUACCUGCAGAAAAAGCGCCGGCUAACUACGUGCCAGCAGCCGCGGUAAUACGUAGGGCGCAAGCGUUAUCCGGAAUUAUUGGGCGUAAAGAGCUCGUAGGCGGUUUGUCGCGUCUGCUGUGAAAUCCGGAGGCUCAACCUCCGGCCUGCAGUGGGUACGGGCAGACUAGAGUGCGGUAGGGGAGAUUGGAAUUCCUGGUGUAGCGGUGGAAUGCGCAGAUAUCAGGAGGAACACCGAUGGCGAAGGCAGAUCUCUGGGCCGUAACUGACGCUGAGGAGCGAAAGGGUGGGGAGCAAACAGGCUUAGAUACCCUGGUAGUCCACCCCGUAAACGUUGGGAACUAGUUGUGGGGUCCAUUCCACGGAUUCCGUGACGCAGCUAACGCAUUAAGUUCCCCGCCUGGGGAGUACGGCCGCAAGGCUAAAACUCAAAGGAAUUGACGGGGACCCGCACAAGCGGCGGAGCAUGCGGAUUAAUUCGAUGCAACGCGAAGAACCUUACCAAGGCUUGACAUAUACG
This 905-nucleotide ribosomal RNA is filed under the name Microbacterium sp. CBMAI 1078. Its description in RNAcentral is "bacterial SSU rRNA". It matches the Rfam family "Bacterial small subunit ribosomal RNA", at positions 75 to 992 of the family's 1533-position model. Lineage: Bacteria; Bacillati; Actinomycetota; Actinomycetes; Micrococcales; Microbacteriaceae. The record is from RNAcentral.